RNAcentral lists this ribosomal RNA (492 nucleotides) under uncultured bacterium. RNAcentral describes it as "partial 16S ribosomal RNA". It matches the Rfam family "Bacterial small subunit ribosomal RNA", at positions 29 to 507 of the family's 1533-position model. The record is from RNAcentral.
AGUGAACGCUGGCGGUAGGCCUAACACAUGCAAGUCGAACGGCAGCACAGUAAGAGCUUGCUCUUACGGGUGGCGAGUGGCGGACGGGCGAGGAAUACAUCGGAAUCUACUUUUUCGUGGGGGAUAACGUAGGGAAACUUACGCUAAUACCGCAUACGACCUACGGGUGAAAGCAGGGGAUCUUCGGACCUUGCGCGAUUGAAUGAGCCGAUGUCGGAUUAGCUAGUUGGCGGGGUAAAGGCCCACCAAGGCGACGAUCCGUAGCUGGUCUGAGAGGAUGAUCAGCCACACUGGAACUGAGACACGGUCCAGACUCCUACGGGAGGCAGCAGUGGGGAAUAUUGGACAAUGGGCGCAAGCCUGAUCCAGCCAUACCGCGUGGGUGAAGAAGGCCUUCGGGUUGUAAAGCCCUUUUGUUGGGAAAGAAAGGCAGCAGGUUAAUACCCCGCUGUUCUGACGGUACCCAAAGAAUAAGCACCGGCUAACUUCGUG